GUGAGGAAUUUUGGUCAAUGGGGGAAACCCUGAACCAGCGACGCCGCGUGCGGGAUGAAGGAGCUUUGCUCUGUAAACCGCUGUCGGGAGGGAAGAAAAGCCGGGUCGCCCGGCUGGGACAGUACCUCCAAAGGAAGGAUCGGCUAACUACGUGCCAGCAGCCGCGGUAAUACGUAGGAUCCAAGCGUUGUCCGGAUUUACUGGGUGUAAAGGGUGCGCAGGCGGAUUUGUGCGUCAGAGGUUAAAGACUUCGGCUUAACCGAAGAAAUGCCUUUGAUACGGCAAGUCUUGAGUACGAGAGAGGAUGAUAGAAUUCUUGGUGUAGCGGUGAAAUGCGUAGAUAUCAAGAGGAAUACCAGUGGCGAAGGCGGUCAUCUGGCUCGUAACUGACGCUCAGGCACGAAAGCGUGGGGAGCAAACAGGAUUAGAAACCCUGGUAGUCC
RNAcentral lists this ribosomal RNA (443 nucleotides) under uncultured bacterium. RNAcentral describes it as "bacterial SSU rRNA". It matches the Rfam family "Bacterial small subunit ribosomal RNA", at positions 354 to 796 of the family's 1533-position model. The record is from RNAcentral.